This 59-nucleotide microRNA precursor is filed under the name Sarcophilus harrisii (Tasmanian devil). RNAcentral's name for it is "Sha-Novel-15_pre stem-loop". The record is from RNAcentral. Lineage: Eukaryota; Metazoa; Chordata; Mammalia; Dasyuromorphia; Dasyuridae.
UGUCCGGCCUGAAGACACAUUGUGUGACCCUUUCAAACUAUGUAUUUUCAGACCUGAGU